Molecule: ribosomal RNA, 1057 nt
Filed under: uncultured Enterorhabdus sp.
Lineage: Bacteria; Bacillati; Actinomycetota; Coriobacteriia; Eggerthellales; Eggerthellaceae
Description: bacterial SSU rRNA
Rfam family: Bacterial small subunit ribosomal RNA
Source: RNAcentral
AGAGUUUGAUCCUGGCUCAGGAUGAACGCUGGCGGCGUGCUUAACACAUGCAAGUCGAACGAUUAAACCGCCCUCGGGCGGACAUAGAGUGGCGAACGGGUGAGUAACACGUGACCAACCUGCCCCGCGCUCCGGGACAACCGCUGGAAACGGCGGCUAAUACCGGAUACUCCGGGAGGGCCCCAUGGCCCUGCCGGGAAAGCCGAGACGGCGCGGGAUGGGGUCGCGGCCCAUUAGGUAGACGGCGGGGUAACGGCCCACCGUGCCCGCGAUGGGUAGCCGGACUGAGAGGUCGACCGGCCACAUUGGGACUGAGAUACGGCCCAGACUCCUACGGGAGGCAGCAGUGGGGAAUUUUGCGCAAUGGGGGAAACCCUGACGCAGCAACGCCGCGUGCGGGACGAAGGCCCUCGGGUUGUAAACCGCUUUCAGCAGGGAAGAUCCAAGACGGUACCUGCAGAAGAAGCUCCGGCUAACUACGUGCCAGCAGCCGCGGUAAUACGUAGGGGGCGAGCGUUAUCCGGAUUCAUUGGGCGUAAAGCGCGCGUAGGCGGCCGCCUAAGCGGGACCUCUAACCCCGGGGCUCAACCCCGGGCCGGGUCCCGGACUGGGCGGCUCGAGUGCGGUAGAGGAGAGCGGAAUUCCCGGUGUAGCGGUGGAAUGCGCAGAUAUCGGGAAGAACACCGAUGGCGAAGGCAGCUCUCUGGGCCGUCACUGACGCUGAGGCGCGAAAGCUGGGGGAGCGAACAGGAUUAGAUACCCUGGUAGUCCCAGCCGUAAACGAUGGGCGCUAGGUGUGGGGGGACGAUCCCUCCGUGCCGCAGCCAACGCAUUAAGCGCCCCGCCUGGGGAGUACGGCCGCAAGGCUAAAACUCAAAGGAAUUGACGGGGGCCCGCACAAGCAGCGGAGCAUGUGGCUUAAUUCGAAGCAACGCGAAGAACCUUACCAGGGCUUGACAUGCCGAUGAAGCCGGGGAGACCCGGUGGCCGAGAGGAGUCGGCGCAGGUGGUGCAUGGCUGUCGUCAGCUCGUGUCGUGAGAUGUUGGGUUAAGUCCC